UUGUUUUAUCCCUAAAACUCAAAAAGUUCUCAUUAUGGAAAGUGGUGAACAUAGCAGUGAUGAAGAACUAAACCUGAAAAAUAGUGUAAUGGAGCGUAGGAGCAAAAAAAGUAAAUCUUACGGCAGAUUAAGAAAAUGAGACUCCAAAGUCAUGAAAUGGGCCCUGAUUGCAACUGUUUAAAAAAGUGUUUUGAUGUUGUACCCAGUGAUACAAGAUGUAACAUAUUAAAGCAUUUUAACAUGCUUAGUUCGACUAAUGCUCAAAAUUCAUACCUUAGUGGCUUAAUAUCAGUACUUCCGGUUCAACGUAAGACAUCGAGAGAAGGUGCUAAGCACUACAGUGCAUCCUACAAGUACAGGGUGCACGGAGGAAUUUGACGUGUGCCGUAAAGCAUUUAUUGAUGAAAAAAAUUGGAAAUUUUGGUAGCAAGCUUGAAGGAAACAGGAUAUGCUCCUGAAGAUAAACGAGGUAGGCACCCAAACCGUUCUAAUAAGCUUCCAGUAGAAACUAUAAGCCUAGUCAGGCAGCAUAUCAAUUCAUUUAAAGGUCGUGGAAGUCAUUAUGGCCUGAAGGACUCUUCAAAAAUAUACCUUUCUGAAGAGCUAAACAUAAAGAAAAUGCAUAAAAUGUUUAAGAAACUAUAAAAUAUCGUACGAGUCAGACAGGCAGGUGUUUUGCCGUGAUUUCAAUAUCUCCUUUGGUUAUCCACGAAAGGAUACUUGUAGCAGCUGCGUGAUGAGUUCACAAUAAAAAUUAAAAACUUAGAAUCUGAAAAACUGGUGAAAAACUCAUCUGAGGAGAUCUUACGGAUAUCUAGGGAGAUGGAGAGAUUAACUACAGAAAACGCGUUACAUAAGAAAAAAGCGGAAACUUUUUUUAGUAGGAAGAGGCUGGCUAAGAUAAACAGUAAAAAAAAUCUAAUUUAGAGGCAAUUUGUAUGGAUUUUGCCAAGAAUCUUAUAUUAUCAACAAAUGAUACCUAUUACAAAAGGCAGCUAUCAACAUACGCAUUGUCUACCUCUGAGAGCUAUUUUUACGUCUAUCCAGAAACCCAAGGGAAAAAGGGUUCAGAUGAUGUGUGCUCACUGCUUCAUAACUUCAUAUUAUAUAACCAUCUAGAUCGAGAAGUAAAGCACCUACAAAUAUUUUGUGAUUCAUGCAGUGGCCAACAAAAAAAAUUUUACCUUUUUUCGUUUUCUUCAUAACUUAGUCAACAACGAGAAAAGGUUAGAAUCAGCUUCUAUCACGUUCCCCAUUCGAGGACAUUCCUAUGUGAUAAGAAUUUUGGCCUCGUAAACCAAAAAAGCAGAGCAGAUCUUCCCAAAGACUGGUUGAAAAUAUUAUUGGAAGAAUCCCGCCAUUCCCUAACUCCAUUUACGGUUAUCGAGGUCAAUAACACCUUUUUCCGCAGCUGGGGAAAAUUUCUUGACAAUAGUUACGCAACAAAGUCGCCAUUCCCAUCUAGACCAAUCAGAGAAAUUAAGAUAAAUAGAGGACCUUUGAUACAGUGUCGCACUACAUACGAGGGUUGUCUUUUAAGUUUUGCAUAUGCAGCUGGAAUAAAACAAAAAAUAACUUUUAACGACUUUAUUGUUUUUCAAAGUAUUCUCCACGAAAUUUAAGGCACUUUUGCAUGCGCUUAAACCAGUUGUCAAAGCUGUUAUUCCACUCGUUUGUGGGUACUGUCAAAAUUGCAUUUUUAAAGGCGUUAACUGCUUCCUCUGGCGUCUGAAACCUCUGACCACGCAGUUCAUUCUUGAUUUUUGGAAAAGUAUAGAAAUUGUUGGGACUUAGGUCGGGACUGUACGAAGGAUGAUCCAAUAAUUCGACGUUUUGAUAAGUUAAAAAUUCAAUAGUUUUCCGGGCUGUGUGCGAACUUGCAUUGUCUUGGUGGAGGAUGAUUCGUCGUUGUGGGUUCGCUUUUCGAAGCUCAGCGAUGACUUUCGGCAAACAAAUGGUAAUGUACCAAUCGGCAGUAACAGUUCGUUGAUUCUCCAGAGGAAUUGUUGCAACAUGACCUGCUUUUGAGACAAAUGUUGCAACCAUCUUUUUGGAUACACUUCGAGAACGAAUGACUUUUGUUGGCUUUUCUUCAUCUUGAAAUACCCAUACAGACGACUGACGUUUAUUUUCAGGUUCAAAUGAGUAAAUCCAUGAUUCACCACUGACAAUGCUGUACACAUUUUUAGAGUUUCCUGUCUCAAAGCGGUCUAGAGUUGUUUGACACCACAUCACCCUAGCUUCUUUCUGUUCUUCAGUUAACAGAUGCGGUAUCCAGCGGAAAAUUAAUUUUCUUAACCGUAAUUCUUCAUGCAAAAUUUUUUGAAUUGAGGUCUUUGAAAUCGCCAAUGAAGCCUCAAUCUCGCGAUAUGUCACAUGUCGAUCUUCCGUGAUAAGCAUACGCACAGCAUCGAUGUUUUCUUGGGUGACAGCCGUUUUUGGUGCACCUGACCUUGGAUCGUCGCUAAGACUGAUGUGGUGCUUCAUUACCGAAAACAGAAAUCAACUCAGCACAGCAUUCUUGUUGAGAUAAUUGCCUUCGAAAAUUGUAAAAAAUGAUGGCCCGAAAAAGUUCUCUGUUUAAUUCCAUGGUAUGCGCAAUUUGCUACCUUUAAAAAUUCACUAGCUGUAAAACUAUAUGUAUCGCACUGACGUUUUGAAUUUAAGAAAAGUAAAGUUUGAGGUUAAGUUUGACUAAUGACAUUUGAUUAGUGACGCCCUCUAUGUUUCUAUAUGCAAAACUUAAAAGACAUCCCUCGUAUAAUGGAUGUUGAGUCAGCUUCGCUGCAAGGAAAAAACCGAAAGUCUUCGCGAUUAGCUGUUCGUCAAGACAACGAAUUUAUGCUACCUGAGUUAAGUUAUAAAGGGCAGCUUCCAAUAUCUGCUGAGAAGUUUCUUUUUUUCAAACCUACCGCAUCACUAAUUAACGAAUUGGAAUAUUGUUUGGAGCCUUUCACACUAACGACGAUCGAGGUUAUGAUUACUGUGAAAGAACAGGCUCGUUUCAAUAAAAUGGACCCCUUUUUUCCUUGUUUUCACUUUUGUACCUGUAUGCGAUUUUA
Long non-coding RNA from Anthonomus grandis grandis, 3062 nucleotides. RefSeq lists it as uncharacterized. The transcript is spliced from 3 exons. The record is from RefSeq and is a predicted model, not a curated record. NCBI's taxonomy places the organism in Eukaryota, Metazoa, Arthropoda, Insecta, Coleoptera, Curculionidae.